This is a long non-coding RNA of Haemorhous mexicanus (house finch), 434 nucleotides long. RefSeq lists it as uncharacterized. The record is from RefSeq and is a predicted model, not a curated record. The transcript has 3 exons. NCBI's taxonomy places the organism in Eukaryota, Metazoa, Chordata, Aves, Passeriformes, Fringillidae.
AGGACAUUAUUGAGACUGGUAGAACAAUGAAAGCUCUGCUUUCAAAAAUAAAAGACAAGAAACCAAUGAUAGUAAAAGCCUGCUCCUUAAAACGACAUGUCAGAAUCCAGGAAACAGACCAGACUGUCUUCAAAGCGGCCGUGCAGGCACUCUGUGUGAAGGUUUGCCACACACUUAUGGAUAACAUGGCUGUAAGAUCUCUCUUCCCUUAUUCCAUUACAGCUUCCUUAGGCUGCACAGAGUAGUAGACUUAGAAACAUCAUAAACUAAGAGGGUUGGUCUUUUUUCCCUCCUUUGUUUUCAAAAGUACUUUCUUAAUUCUGAUAAACUCAGAAAGUUUUUCCUUUCUAAGUCUUUCUACUAAGACAAACCAGUUCUGCUGAAGACACAGUCAAUCUGUGCUAUUGCUCAGCAGCAGGAGGUGUAUGCAGUAA